RNAcentral lists this ribosomal RNA (138 nucleotides) under uncultured archaeon. RNAcentral describes it as "16S ribosomal RNA". The record is from RNAcentral.
ACGUCACGCGUAAGCGUGAGGGGGUAUCCCGAGUGCCGUUGGUCUUUGAUGGGCCGUCUUUUCAGGAGCGAAAAAGGUUCUUGAAUAAAGGGUGGGUCAGGAGUGGGGCCCCGCGCCGAGAAAUAAGAACCUAAAUGC